CAUCGCUCCUUGAAAAAUUAUUAUAAGGAGUACUGCCUGCCCGGUGAUUCACAGAAUUUAACGGCCGCGGUAUCUUGACCGUGCAAAGGUAGCAUAAUAAUUUGCUCUAUAAUUGAGGGCUAGUAUGAAUGGCAAGACGAGAAUUUAACUGUCUCCCUUCUAAAAAAAGAAAUUAAUAUAUUAGUGAAGAAGCUAAUAUUUAAACGUAAGACGAGAAGACCCUGUCGAGCUUAAGAAAAUUUUUAUAAUAAAUUUUUAAAAAAUAAAAUAUUAUUAAAAAUUUUUUUUAAUAAAAAUAAUCUUUGGUUGGGGCAACCACGAAGAAAAAAUAACCUUCGAUAAAAAAAAGAAAUAAACAAAUUAAAAAAAGAAGACUUUUAAACAAAUCCGGAAAUUCCGAAUUAGAAAAAAGUUACCGCAGGGAUAACAGCGUUAUUCUCUUUGAGAGUUCAUAUUGACAAGAGAGUUUGCGACCUCGAUGUUGGAUCGAGGCACCCAAGAGAUGCAGAAGUCUCUAAAGGUAGGUCUGUUCGACCUUUAAAGCCUUACGUGA
This 553-nucleotide ribosomal RNA is filed under the name Comatella stelligera. RNAcentral describes it as "partial 16S ribosomal RNA". It matches the Rfam family "Bacterial large subunit ribosomal RNA", at positions 1814 to 2603 of the family's 2925-position model. The record is from RNAcentral. Lineage: Eukaryota; Metazoa; Echinodermata; Crinoidea; Comatulida; Comatulidae.